AGGGGGUUUGGAUCAUGGCUCAGAAUGAACGCUGGCGGCGUGCCUAAGACAUGCAAGUCGAACGAGAACAUUUUCUUCGGAAAAUUAGUACAGUGGCGCACGGGUGAGUAAGGCUUAGGUAACCUACCUUUUUGCUGGGGACAACAGGAGGAAACUCCUGCUAAUACCGAAUAACCUGCAAGGUUCUGCGGAACUUUUCAGGAAAGGCGCAAGCCGCAAAAAGAGGGGCCUGAGUACCAUUAGCUUGUUGGUGGGGUAAAAGCCUACCAAGGCGACGAUGGUUAGCUGGUCUGAGAGGAUGAUCAGCCACACUGGUACUGGAACACGGACCAGACUCCUACGGGAGGCAGCAGUUAGGAAUUUUGCGCAAUGGGGGAAACCCUGACGCAGCAACGCCGCGUGAGUGAGGAAGGCCUUAGGGUUGUAAAGCUCUUUCAGUGGAGAAGAUAAUGACGGUAUCCACAGAAGAAGGACCGGCUAACUCCGUGCCAGCAGCCGCGGUAAUACGGAGGGUCCAAGCGUUAUUCGGAUUUACUGGGCGUAAAGCGCGCGUAGGCGGUUUGGUAAGUUUGAUGUGAAAGCCCUGGACUCAAUCCAGGAAGUGCAUUGAAUACUGCCAGACUAGAGUACAGGAGGGGUGAGCGGGAAUUCCAGGUGUAGAGGUGAAAUUCGUAGAUAUCUGGAGGAACAACGGCGGCGAAGGCGGCUCACUGGACUGUAACUGACGCUAAGGUGCGAAAGUGUGGGGUAGCGAACAGGAUUAGAUACCCUGGUAGUCCACACCGUAAACGAUGAAUACUUAGGUG
This 806-nucleotide ribosomal RNA is filed under the name uncultured bacterium. RNAcentral describes it as "bacterial SSU rRNA". It matches the Rfam family "Bacterial small subunit ribosomal RNA", at positions 1 to 822 of the family's 1533-position model. The record is from RNAcentral.